Rattus norvegicus (Norway rat) is the source of this 8577-nucleotide non-coding RNA. Lineage: Eukaryota; Metazoa; Chordata; Mammalia; Rodentia; Muridae. The record is from RefSeq and is a predicted model, not a curated record.
AGGAGCCUGAAGUGAACGCCACAAGAUAAGAUUCAAGGGGGAAAUGAACUAACCAGGAAGCUAGAUACUAAAAACUAAGGGGGUGGGAUUAGAAAGGAAACUUAUGCUUUAGGGAGUAAGAGGCUAAAAUAUAGAUAGAUAUGUGACUUUGAGUUCAUCAGUGCCGCUGAGAUGUCUUACAGAAGAGAAAAACUCAAGUCCAUACAUGACCACAUGAAGUUGCCUACCAGCUUAGACUUUCUAUUUUAAAACAUCAUUACUAUUACUAAGUGUGUUUAUGUGUCCAUAAUGAGGGGGGCAUGUGGGGAAUUGUGUGUGAGAAACUUUCCUAGUGAAACUAUAGCCAAUCUUUGCUACUUUGUGAGUUCCUUUUUCCCCCCCACUGUUUAUCUACCCCCAACCCCUGUUUCACCCCCAUCACUAGAGAGGAAGAAAAGAAAGAUAGAGGGGGGAGAAAGAGAUAAGAGAUAUUUGAAUUUAAUUUCUCAUAACAAAGAGCAACCUGAAUAACCAGCGACCAUCAACCUCACCUCUCAGGGUGCUUGACGUGGAAGCUAGAAGGUUCUUUGGAAAGUCAGUUGUGUCGGACAUGAAGGAAUGUUUCACUGAAGCAGACACAGGUGAAAGGCUAAGGUAGACUCUGAAGGAACAUUUUGCUGAACUGUUUCACAGUUCACAGGAGAAAGGAUGUUCUGUUAAAGUAAGAGCGUGAUGAAGAAUUUUUUUUUGUUACCGACACGCAUGAAUUGGUCUGCCUUACAUCGCAUAGUUGAGCUCCAUUUGUUGGGACUCCGUAGAGAGAAAUGGUGGCAAAAAGCUUCUGGUGGUGUGCUGAAGUUUCUUGUAUGCUUCUGAGGACUCAGGCGGAUUGGCAGAGUGAUGGAAGAUGGGACAGAUGCACAUGCUGAGGUAAGACUUGUGCUGAGGCAAGACCAGUGGAGGACAUGUGAUGUUUGGAGGGCAUGAAAAGGACUCCAUGGGUGAGUGACUGGAGCUAGCUUGGCUUGCCUUGUAGAACUAUCUCUCUGCAACACUUGUUGGUCAUGUUCUCCCUGAUCUUCACUUUGCUAAGAGAGGCACAGCUGAGGACUUUUCCUGUUGGCCCUGAUCCCUCCUGCUGACUUGUGCCAAGGCUGAGAGGCCUGCCUGUCUCUGCUAGGUAGUGCCACAACUGCUGACUGGUGUUUGCUAACCAGAUUCUACUGAACUGGACUGCUGGUGUAUCUGUGAAGUGUUGGUGAGUGAAUGGAGUUGCCUCCAUUGGCUUGUGAACUGAACUGCUGAUUGCCAAACAACCCAGAUGGGAGUUGCUCCAAAGAACCCUUUCUAAACAGGUCCACUUCCCCCGUACCCUUUCUUUCCCACUACCUGAGGUGGGUGGUGGGCUAAAAGGGAGGUUAAAGCAUUUAAGAACCAUCAUUAAAAGUAGCCAUUGGAAAAAAUUAGUUACAGGUCCUUCCAUCUAUAUACCUUCUGAAAAGUUCCCAGAAUUUCAAAUGCCACAAACUCAUGCCUCUGCUAGAGCAUGAGGCAAAUCAUAGUCAGCUGCUGCUGUAGACAGUUUGAAGCAACCCCAUAUCCCAUACCUGGGAUUAAACAAAACCACAUUCUUAUAAUAUAUUUCUGUGGUUUUUGUUUGUUUUUUUAAGAAACCAAGACUCCAAACUUGUCUCUACAGGAGAUACAACAUGCAUACCCCAAGAAAGGAACCGAUGGUGUGCCAAAGUAACAAUCGCACCAAAGUCCAAUUUGAUGAUCCGAUGAGUUUCAUGGGGGUUCCUGACAGGAGCCUGUGCUAGGGGACACCCAAGUAGGGAUGACUCGAAAGCAGUUGCAUCAUGGAGAAGCACGCACAGGCAAACAUGGUACUGGAGGAGCCACGAGUUCUACCUACAUCUUGAUCCGAAGACAGCAGGAAAGAUCUGCCUCUGGGUGGAGCCUACGCAUAGGAAUCCUCAGGUCCACCUACAUAGUGACACACUUCCUCCAACAAGGCCACACCUCCUCCAAUAAGGCCACACCGCCGAAUACUGACGCUCCCCAUGGGGAAGCAUUCAAAUAUAUGAGUCGAUGGGGACCAAACCUAUGCAAACCACCACAAACAGCAAAUGCUGUUACCCCUGAACUGCUUGCUUCGAAGUAAAGAAAAACAAUGUAUUUGAUGUAAGCCACUGUUAUUUUUUUCACUGCUAAUAGCAGUUAAACCAAUGCGCUAAUAGAUUCAUUAACUUCUCAGAGACCAUACAGCAGUAGAGGCAGACCUGAUGCAUCUUCACUUGUUGACAUCCACUCUCUCACCUCCUGCCUCACCCUUUGACAGGAUGUCCCAGCCAGAAAAGGAUGUCCCCCUACUCCCUCCUUCAGUGCACUGAUGUAUUCAAGGGUUCAGUAAACAUCUGAAAAUAUUCAUCACUGACAAUUGUGUGUCUUGAUUUAUCAAAAUCAAAACAAAGGCCCUUCAAAUGCUGAGCUCAUCUGAGUUCAUUAUGAUAAACGAUGAGAUCUUUAGAAGUCAGGUCUGUUUUCAUUCUUUGGGGCUCUGGGUCAUUUUCUAUGGAGCCCAAGUCUGUUUGGAAGAUGUUUCCAAAUAAACUCUUCUACAGACGUACUUUCCCUGUAAUCUUUGUACCGCCAUCUUACCGUCUUUGCAUAGCUCUUCUUGCUCCUAAAAACAAGACUGCAUAGUUGUACUCAUCCAACACCCAUGGGUGUAACCACACUAAUUCACAAUAAAAUACUGAACUGCUUCUAUAUUCUUGGCAACUAGCCAACAUCCAGUGGCCUCUAAGACCUUCCCACCGUCCCAGUCUUCGUGAAGCCAUGGAUUUAGCAGCCGCAGAAAACAAGUGGGAACCCACAUCUCCAUGACCCAAUUGCUUUUGGCUCGACUGGCAUUCCUAUCAAUAUGUCUAUGGAAAGCCAGGCACAGUGGCACACCCCUUUAACGCCAACACUCAAGAGGCAGAGAUAGGUAGAUGCCUUUGUGUUUGCAGUCAGCCUGGUCUACAGAGAUAGUUUCAGGACAGUUAGGGCUGCACAGAGAAACCCUGUCUCAAAACCCAAACCAAAACAAGUGUCUGGGGUGAUAGCCAGUUCUUUUUUUUUUUUUUUAAGAUUUUAUUUAUUAUUACGUAUAAGUACACUGUCGCUGUCUUCAGACACACCAGAAGAGGGUAUCAGAUCUCAUUACAGGUGGUUGUGAAUCACCAUGUGGUUGCUGGGAUUUGAACUCAGGACCUCUGGAAGAGCGGUCGGUGUUCUUAACCACUGAGCCAUCUCUCCAGCCUGAUAGCCAGUUCUUGUCUUGCAAAGCAACUCAUAAAAAUUUCUAUAUUUAGUCAAUUUCCAUAGGUAAUAAUGUCUUCAAGAACAAUCUGUCAGUAUAAACAUGCCAGCAUUAGUAGUACUAGUACUAGUAGUAGUAGUAGUAAUAGUAAUUUUUAAAAAUGCUAUUCUCUUGAUAGUUUUACAUUUUCAUAAAACUAUGUGCACACCCUCUGAUUCAAGGCCUGUAUUUUUAAUAGUGUCCAAGGUCUUCCCUACCAAAUUUCCAUUGCUAUAACACACAAACACAGGUACACACACACACACAUACACACACACACACACACACAGUGAGAGAGAGAGAGACAUAUUCAGACAUAUACACACACAUACACGUAUUAAGCUAACAGAAAUUAUUAUUGCUGUAUAGAAAUGAAUUGAAUCAUAUAUAACUCAAACCUACCUACUGCAGCCUAACUACUGUUCCUAUACAAGCCCCACACUCUUGGAAGGAAAGGCAUUCUGUAAACCUACAGAGCCUAUAGUGUAAAGAUGUAAUCUCUGUAGUUGCACUUUGUCUCCACAGGAAGCCCUACUUGUGUUUGUAAUUAAAGCAAACCCUCUUCAAGUAACCUGAUUUUUUUCUCUUCUGUUUUUGACAAGUCUAAUAUGAUUUAUAUGCCUUUUAGGGUGAGCUACACUGACAUUACUUGAAAAACAGAAGACACAUGAUGUAAAACACUUGCAUUUUCCCAGCAUGUAAUCAGCAGAAUAAAUGUCAGCCGCCAUUCGUAGAGGUAAUAUUACUAAUAGUAUUGUAUCUGUAAAGAAUAAAGCUUUCUUGUCCUCCUACCUGAGAUCCCACAAGGCUCCUGUCUUAGGCUUUCCAUUGUUAAGAGGAGGAAAGAGUUUAUUUCAUUUUACAACUCUCAGGUCAUUCUCCAUCAAUAUGGGAAGUCAGGGCAGGAAUUCAGGUAGGAACUUUGAUUCAGAAAGUGGAGCUGAGGAGAGAGGAAUCUUCUGACUGGCUUGCUUGUUAUGACUUCCUCAGUCAGCUUUCUUAUGUAAUUUAGGAUCACCUGCCCAGGUGUAGUAUCCUCCACAGUGGGCUGGGUCCUUCCACAUCAGUCAUUAAUCAAGAAAAUGUGAUAGACAUAUAGUUGAUCAUCCAGAGAGGUCAAGACAGGAACUUAAGGCAGGAACUCAGAGGCAGGAGCUGAUGCAGAGGCCAUGUAAGAGUGCUGCUUACUUGCUUGCUGCUCAUAGACUGCUCAGUCUGUUUUCUUAUAGCACCAAGGACCACCUGCCUGGGGGUGGCAACAGGGAUGGGUCUUCCCAUAUCAAUCAUUAAUCAAGAUAAUCAUUAAUCAAUAUCCUAUAGGCUUGUCUAUAGGCAAAUCAUUAAUCAAGACAACACCCCAUAGGCUUGCCUACAGACCAAUCAUUAAUCAAGACAACACCCCAUAGGCUUGCCUACAGGCCAAUAGGCUUGCCUACAGGCCAAUCAUUAAUCAAGGCAACACCCCAUAGACUUGCCUACAGGCCAAUCUUGCAGAGACAUUUUCUCAGUUGUGAUUCUCUCUCUUUGGAUCACUCUAGCUUGAGUCAAGCUGAUUCAGAACUAGCCAGUACAGCUCAUAUUGCUUUCAUUUAUUUUAUGUAUUUAUUUACUUACUUAUUUUCUUUCUUAGUGCCAAGGGUUGAACCUAGGACCUUGAACAGGAUAGGCAAGUGCUGUACCACUAAGCUACAUUCUCAGCCCUAACCAAACUGUAAUGGUUUAUAUUGAUUAUGAACUUGGCAGGGUCUGGAAUCAGGCUUGAUUAGAUUAACAGGUGGGAAGACCCAUUCUAAAACUGAGUGGUGCUACCUUAUCGGGUUGGGGACUCGACAACAGGGAAGAAGAACAAAGCUGAACAGAGGUCUUCAGGUUUCUCUACUUCCUGAUUGUGCCUGCAAUGCCAGGAGCUCCUCCAAGCUCCUGUGAUUGCCCUCCCUUGAUGGACUGUACCUCUGGGUGAGAGCAGAGAUAACCCCUGCCUUCUUCCUUCCUUCAGUUAUUGGUCUUUUUUUUUUUUUUUACAGCUACAGGAAAGGAGCUAAGACACAAAGUUUUUCCUUUGAGGUUGGGAUCCAGCUUAUCUCCAGCCAUCUCCCCACAAGGCACUUCUUCCAUUCACGUCUGGGUUAGCUGUCUCUUAUGCAAAGCAACUUGGGCUUGACCACACAGUUGUAACCCAAGUCUCUCCCACCCCCACAUUUUCUAGACAAUAGCUGUGUACAGGUAGGCAUUGUGGUUUGUAUUGGGAAUAUUCUCUGACAAUGCCCAUCCUGUAUCCCUAUUUGAAAGCUGUAGAGCUUCUAGGUGGUUAAGGUUAAGCCUUUGAAAGUCAUAGCUGCUUCACUAUGUGGUCACUGGUUUACUCCUGGGGUCCUUCAGUCCUAGUUGACACCAUUGUACAGAUCUUGGUCACACAUUCCCAUAGAGGCUCUCUGUUGUCCACAUCUUCUUCCUCUGCUGUAAUGGACUGAACUCACUCUGAACCAAAGUAAACAUUUUCUCCCUGAGUUGUUUCUGCCUGACAUUUGGUCAGAAUAGCUCAAAAAGAAUUAGCACAAAAGGAGAGUGAUCGAAAUCUUUCCCUCAUGACUGUCUUCUUAGGUUUUCUGUCAGUACUAUGUGUGUCAAGUCAGUACGUGAAGAGGAACUUGUACUCUCUCUUGAAGUCAAUCAGUGCUUUCAUUUUGAAGCAAUCCAUGUUGUAUGUGAUAAGACUGAAACCAAAACAGAAACAUGAACAUGUACCUAGCCACCCUGUGUUAAUAAUUGAAUGCCCCCUUUUUCUUAAGUUAACAUGUGUGUUUUUAUUCCGUGACAUCCAAAAUGGGGAAAAGAAGGUAUAUUCAAGGAAACGAUUAUAAAUGUCAUGUUAUUAUCAUUCAUUCUUUUGUUGUUGUUGUUGUUGUUGUUGUUUUGAGAUAGGAUCUCUUAUGUAUCUAUGACUGUCCUAGAACUCGCUAGACACAGUCUGGCAUUGAACUCACAGAGAUCCACCUGCCUCUGCCUCUGCCUCUGCCUCUGCCUCUGCCUCUGCCUCUGCCUCUGCCUCUGCCUCUGCCUCUGCCUCUGCCUCUGCCUCUGCCUCUGCCUCUGCCUCUGCCUCUGCCUCUGCCUCUGCCUCUUUCUAAACCAUAACGGAAGAAAACUAUUGACACUUCCUUUUCUAAUUUUUAAGGCUUAACUUUUUAAAUCACGUGCGUACGUGUGUGGGGCGGGGGCUGGCAUGUGCACUCAUGAGCACAGCUGUCCAUGGAGUUCAGAGCUGGAGUUACAGGCAGUUGAGAGCUAACUCGUGUGGAUGCUGGGAUUCUCAUUCAAGUCCUCUGCAAGAGCAACACACAUUCUUCCUCACUGAGACAUCCUCCAGCUCUUAUCAGUCACCAGGGCAUCCCCUGCCCCUAUUUGGUAGUUCUUCAAAGGGAGAGAUACAGAGUACUCUUGUGACUCAGGAAUUCCCCCUUCUAGUUAUAUAUAGAAUGAGGUUUCUUGAUCAAUAAGAUAUGUUGCAAGAAGUUAGAUAAUGAUGUCAUUCUCAGCUGCAUGUAGUGGUAUAUGGGCAUGGUUAAACACUUCUGUAAACCACUCUCCCCCACCCCACCCCAGAACUGGAGGCUAAGUAGAAGAAUCUUAAGUUCCAGGCGACACAUUAAGGUCCUGUUUAAAAUGCAUAAAUCUGAAAGGAAAGAGGGCCUUGUGCCUUAGGAAAAUGUUACCAGGGCAACUGUCUGAAGCCUUUGCCUAGGCAGAAAUUGGAGUAAAUUGUAAAUUACCUGCUUUCAGGUUCUGGGCAUCUUUGCUACGUAUGGGCUCAUAUUUCCUGAAGGAACCUGGGUUUCAUGGCAGGAUUUAUUUACCAGCAUAGUUUAUCCCAAGGGGAAAGGGGAAUGAACAUGGACUGAGGCUGUCUGCGGCUAAAAGAAAAUGAAAAGAAGGAUCUCCAGGCUUUGAUUGAGUUUGAGGAGAGAAAUGGAAGUCUCUAGACACAGCCUGGCAUUGAACUCACAGAGAUCCAUCUGUUUCUGCUUCUGCUUCUGCUUCUGCUUCUGCUUCUGCUUCUGCUACUGCUUCUGCCUCUGCCUCUGCCUCUGCCUCUGCCUCUGCCUCUGCCUCUGCCUCUGCCUCUGCCUCUGCCUCUGCCUCUGCCUCUGCCUCUGCCUCUGCCUCUGCGAAUGUGAUCACAAGUUUGAAUGAAGGGCUGCUCUGCCAGAUAUAAAGAGUGAUCGAAAGAGUAAACUGACCAAGUGGGGAGAAAGCACAGAGUGGGAGACAACUCUGUCCAUCUGAGCAAGUAAUUGCUAAGGAACUUGUCCUGAAAGGUCUGAAGAACCCUCACAGCUCACCAAGAAGACAACCCCAGCUUGGAAAUGGCUAGAGAACUUUGAUACGCUUUUGUAGAAGGGAAACGUGACCUUGGGGAGUGAGCAGGAAGAGUCUUCACUAUUCUUCAGGAAAACACAAUCAGAACCACAGUGACGUCCAGCAUUUAGCCACUGAUCAUCUGUCACCAAACCAGACCAAACCGAAAAUGAAACAAAAACAGAAAGAUAGAGGCAAAAGCAUGAGGCAAUUAGCAGCAGCCUCUGCAAGCUGCACGACUAUGGCGUUCUGCUUGAGCACAUAAGGCCAAGUGGUCGUGAACUGAAAUCACGUCCUCUGAAAUCACGGGCAAGAUAAAGCUUCCUUCUCUGAAGCUGUUCCUGCACUUUUGUUCAGGUAUUUUGGUUCCAGCUACAGAAAAGUAAGUAGUUCAAAACCAGUAAAUGUGUUUCUUUGAGCUCCAAGAGCCAUUCCAGCAAAUUAGUCAAACCUGAGAGACUCAUGGAUUACAGUCGGUUCGUCAGGGGCCUGGGUGACUCAGUUGACAAUUGGCAUCUGAAGAGGACAGAGCAUUGUGGGAGUGAGCCUUCAACCUGAGGGGUUCUGUUUCUGGGGAGAUAAUGUCAGAAUUGAAUUAUAGAACACUCAGUUGGUGACUCCUAGAGAAUUGCUUGGGGUGUGGAAACUCCCACACACCAGAUCACAAAAGCUUUCUGUGUUGCUCUGAGUGUAUGAGUAGAAAAGGAAAAAAAAAACAACUUGUUUUUCUCUUAACACACACACUCGCAUUUUAAAGAAGUAAUAGUCUUAAAUGUACCAAAUAAUUACAAAUUUAACUUUCAAUCUUGGCAGACUCCAUCAACAUUCAAAAUCCUGGUGAAUAAGAGAAAUUGUCUAAGAGCAAAUAAAAUUCAAUGCAAGCCUGCAGCAAAAAA